This 378-nucleotide ribosomal RNA is filed under the name Smeringurus mesaensis. RNAcentral's name for it is "partial 16S ribosomal RNA". Lineage: Eukaryota; Metazoa; Arthropoda; Arachnida; Scorpiones; Vaejovidae. The record is from RNAcentral.
UUGUCUUUUAAUUGGGGACUGGAAUGAAAGGAAUAACUAUGUAAUUUUGUCUUAUAACAAUAUUUUGAAUUUAAUUUUUUAGUAAAAAAGCUAAAAUUACUCUUAAAGACAAGAAGACCCUAUUAAGCUUUACAAUCUAAUAUUACUUUCAAACUAAUAUAAAAAUUGUUCUGCUGGGGCAGCAAGUAAAACAAUAUUAUUUAUACAUUGUGAUAAAUAAAUCUAGAAAAAUCAAUGAAUUAUUAAAAAAUAACAAGUUACUAUAGGGAUAACAGCAUAAUUUUUUUAAAGAGUUCGCAUCAACAAAAAAGUUUGUGACCUCGAUGUUGGAUUAAGAAUUCUAUUUUGCGCAAGAGUAAAAAAAGAAAGUCUGGGGNU